UACGUAGGGUGCGAGCGUUGUCCGGAAUCACUGGGCGUAAAGGGCGCGUAGGCGGCUCGUUAAGGGUGCGGUGAAAGCCCGGGGCUUAACCCCGGGUCGGCCGUGCCGACUGAUGAGCUCGAGCACUGUAGAGGCAGGUGGAAUUCCGGGUGUAGCGGUGGAAUGCGUAGAGAUCCGGAAGAACACCAGUGGCGAAGGCGGCCUGCUGGGCAGUGGCUGACGCUGAGGCGCGACAGCGUGGGGAGCAAACAGG
Molecule: ribosomal RNA, 253 nt
Filed under: uncultured bacterium
Lineage: Bacteria
Description: partial 16S ribosomal RNA
Rfam family: Bacterial small subunit ribosomal RNA
Source: RNAcentral